UACGGAGGGUGCAAGCGUUAUCCGGAUUUACUGGGUUUAAAGGGUGCGCAGGCGGAUCUGUAAGUCAGUGGUGAAAUCUCCGGGCUUAACCCGGAAACUGCCGUUGAUACUAUAUAUCUUGAAUGCUGUGGAGGUAAGCAGAAUAUGUCAUGUAGCGGUGAAAUGCUUAGAUAUGACAUAGAAUACCUAUUGCGAAGGCAGCUUACUACGCAGAUAUUGACGCUCAUGCACGAAAGCGUGGGGAUCAAACAGG
RNAcentral lists this ribosomal RNA (253 nucleotides) under uncultured bacterium. RNAcentral describes it as "partial 16S ribosomal RNA". It matches the Rfam family "Bacterial small subunit ribosomal RNA", at positions 524 to 776 of the family's 1533-position model. The record is from RNAcentral.